Molecule: non-coding RNA, 1226 nt
Organism: Cajanus cajan (pigeon pea)
Lineage: Eukaryota; Viridiplantae; Streptophyta; Magnoliopsida; Fabales; Fabaceae
Source: RefSeq, a predicted model, not a curated record
UCCUCUUCGAUUCCAUCGCCACCUCCCCCUCCUCCUCCUCCGACCCCCGCUUCCCCAACUCCCUCCUCCACUCCUACGCCGUCGUCGCUGCCUCCCCCUCCAACUCCCUCGCCUUCCUCCGCCACAUCACCCCAAACCCUAAACCUGAUGCUCUCCUCCGACCUCGCCCCCAACGCCGCCACCGCCGACAUCGCCGUUCGAGGACAGGUUCAUCCCUAAUAGGUAUGCGAUGGACUUCGAUUACGCUCACUACAUGCUGACGGAGGGUAACAAGAAGGGAAAGGAGAAAGAGAACCCCGAGGUGACAUCACCGUCGCGAGAAGCCUACUUGAAGCAAAUCGCUGAGGCUUUCAACAUGAACAGAACUCGAAUCUUGGCCUUCAAGAACAAACCCCCGACUCCGGUUGAACUCAUUCCCAACUCCAUCCUUUUGCCUCCUUCUCCUUCCAAAUCCUCUAAGCCCAGGCGUUACAUUCCUCAUAGUUCUGAGAGGACUUUGGAUGCUCCUGAUAUACUAUAUGACUUUUACUUGAACCUGUUGGACUGGGGAAGCAGAAAUGUGCUCAGUAUUGCCCUUGGAAACAUCGUGUAUCUAUGGAAUGCCGCUAAUUGCUCGACGGCGAAACUUGUUACCAUGGAUGAGGAAGAUGGUCCCGUUACUAGCGUUUCCUGGGCUCCUAAUGGGCGCGAUUUAGCCAUUGGUUUGAACAAUUCUCACGUCCAGCUCUGGGAUGCUGUUGCUUCUAGGAUGGCUCGCAGGUGUGCGCUUUGCUGUGGAACAAGAAUGAGCGUGAGUUGCUUAGCUCGCAUGGUUUCACCCAGGACCAGCUCUCUCUUUGGAAAUACCCUUCAAUGGUGAAGAUGGCAGAGCUCAAGGGUCAUACCUCCAGGGUGUUGUUCAUGGCGCAAAGUCCACAUGGGUGUACUAUGGCCUCUACAGCAGGGGAUGAGACGCUGAGAUUUUGGAAUGUUUUUGGAACGCCACAGGCUUCCAAACCAGUGCCUAAAUCUGACACUGAGCCCUUUGCUCAUGUGAACCGUAUUCGUUGAAUAUGCAUGUAGAAUUUUUGCGAGCCCGAGACUAGCUCUAUUAUGUUGGUAGUCAUGGGAUGGACAUUAUUUGUCCUCGUAGACAAUCUAAUUCUGAUAAUCACCCAGAGUGCAUUUGUUCUGCUGACAAACAGGUACUAGUUUCAAUGUUUUUAAGUGACAUAUGUUUCUGAAUA